This 787-nucleotide unclassified non-coding RNA is filed under the name Hevea brasiliensis (rubber tree). Lineage: Eukaryota; Viridiplantae; Streptophyta; Magnoliopsida; Malpighiales; Euphorbiaceae. The record is from RNAcentral.
GUCCGGGGGUGAAUGGCUUGAGUGGGGGGACCGUAAAUACCUCCAUUUUUCAUCUAAGGACUGUGAAAAGCAUAAGAGAAAUCGUAUUGAGCUUCUUUAGGGUGGGCAAGGAACUGGAUUGAUAAUCAAAGCAACUUCCAGCAGAUGGCGUUGGAUUUCUUUGGUUCCUUGUACAAGGAGGAAGUGUCUCAAUCUCCUAAAUAUCCUAUUUGUGUGGAAAGCCCCUGGUUUGCUGGUCUUCAUGCAGGUUUCUUUCAGAAUCAAUGGCCGAUUGCUGCCAAGGAUAUUUGUGCUGAAGUUAGGAGAAUUUUUUGCUAGUGGAAUGAUGGAUGCUUCUAUGACCCGAACUUUGUUAUCCCUCAUGUCGAAGGUUGAGCAUCUAAUUUCUCUCUCUCAGUUUAGGCCUAUUGCUCUCUGUAACGUGAUUUAUAAGGUAAUUACUAAAGUAAUAGCUAAUAGGCUUAAGAGGAUUCUGCCAAAAGUCAUUGGCCUAAAUGAAACUUCUUUUGUUCCAAGGAGACAAAUCACUGACAAUAUUAUUAUUGCCUAGAGAUGAUGCAUUCGAUAGGAAUUAAGAGGUGCAAAUUGGGUUUUAUGGAUGUCAAAAUUGACCUGAAAAAGGCCUAUGAUAAGGUUCGGUGGAGCUUUCUAGAAGAUACUUUGAGAGAAAAGGAGAUUCCAGGUUCUCCCACUACUGCUAUUUUAAAUUGUGUCAAUUCUUCCUCCAUAAAAAUCUUAUGGAAUGGUAAUGUUACAUUCUUUUUCCCCCUCCUGAGGUCUAAUACAG